UACGUAGGGUGCAGGCGUUAAUCGGAAUUACUGGGCGUAAAGCGUGCGCAGGCGGUUUGCUAAGACAGGUGUGAAAUCCCCGGGCUCAACCUGGGAAUUGCGAUGGAGACUGCAAGGCUAGAAUCUGGCAGAGGGGGGUAGAAUUCCACGUGUAGCAGUGAAAUGCGUAGAGAUGUGGAGGAACACCGAUGGCGAAGGCAGCCCCCUGGGUCAAGAUUGACGCUCAUGCACGAAAGCGUGGGGAGCAAACAGG
Molecule: ribosomal RNA, 253 nt
Filed under: uncultured bacterium
Lineage: Bacteria
Description: partial 16S ribosomal RNA
Rfam family: Bacterial small subunit ribosomal RNA
Source: RNAcentral